UACGGAGGGUGCAAACGUUGCUCGGAAUUAUUGGGCGUAAAGCGCACGUAGGCGGUCUCGUAAGUCGGGUGUGAAAGCCCGGGGCUCAACCCCCGGAAGUGCACCUCGAAACUGCAAGGCUUGAGUACGGAAGAGGGGUCUCGGAAUUCCCGGGUGUAGAGGUGAAAUUCCGUAGAUAUCGGGAAGGAACACCAGUGGCGA
This 201-nucleotide ribosomal RNA is filed under the name uncultured bacterium. RNAcentral describes it as "partial 16S ribosomal RNA". It matches the Rfam family "Bacterial small subunit ribosomal RNA", at positions 524 to 718 of the family's 1533-position model. The record is from RNAcentral.